AUGGAACCUAUCCAAACAUGUUGCCUUCUCAGUUGGCUGGAGCUUCAUGUGGGUUAUUUUAUUUGGACUCCUAUUUGCCGGGGUCAGAUCUUAUGCAGUGUACAAAUACAGUCUACAGGAAAACUGAUCACAUGCUCACCAAUACCCCAGCGAGGCAUCACUACCUGGGUUCCUAGUUCAUUGAAGAGACAAACAUCAAAGUCUGGAAGAUAUUUUAGAAACGAUGAAGUCGACGUCCAGCAAGAAGCUCAAGGAGUUUUAAUGGGCCACAUUAAAAUCUGUGAGCUCGCAGGAACAGGGCAGUAA
Molecule: ribosomal RNA, 306 nt
Filed under: Triticum aestivum (bread wheat)
Lineage: Eukaryota; Viridiplantae; Streptophyta; Magnoliopsida; Poales; Poaceae
Description: partial small subunit ribosomal RNA
Source: RNAcentral